GACGAACGCUGGCGGCGUGCUUAACACAUGCAAGUCGAACGGAAAGGCCCUGCUUUUGUGGGGUGCUCGAGUGGCGAACGGGUGAGUAACACGUGAGUAACCUGCCCUUGACUUUGGGGUAACUUCAGGAAACUGGGGCUAAUACCGGAUAGGAGCUCCUGCUGCAUGGUGGGGGUUGGAAAGUUUCGGCGGUUGGGGAUGGACUCGCGGCUUAUCAGCUUGUUGGUGGGGUAGUGGCUUACCAAGGCUUUGACGGGUAGCCGGCCUGAGCGGGUGACCGGCCACAUUGGGACUGAGAUACGGCCCAGACUCCUACGGGAGGCAACAGUGGGGAAUAUUGCACAAUGGGCUGAAGCCUGAUGCAGCAACGCCGCGUGCGGGAUGACGGCCUUCGGGUUGUAAACCGCUUUCGCCUGUGACGAAGCGUGAGUGACGGUAAUGGGUAAAGAAGCACCGGCUAACUACGUG
This 468-nucleotide ribosomal RNA is filed under the name uncultured bacterium. RNAcentral describes it as "partial 16S ribosomal RNA". It matches the Rfam family "Bacterial small subunit ribosomal RNA", at positions 28 to 507 of the family's 1533-position model. The record is from RNAcentral.